UACGGGGGGAGCAAGCGUUGUUCGGAUUUACUGGGCGUAAAGGGCGCGUAGGCGGCCACCGCAAGUCGACUGUGAAAUCUCCGGGCUUAACCCGGAAAGGUCAGCCGAUACUGCGGGGCUAGAGUGCAGAAGGGGCAACUGGAAUUCUCGGUGUAGCGGUGAAAUGCGUAGAGAUCGUAAGGAAGACCAGUGGCGAAGGCGGGUCUCUGGACAGUUCCUGACACUGAGGCACGAAGGCCAGGGGAGCAAACGGG
This 254-nucleotide ribosomal RNA is filed under the name uncultured bacterium. Its description in RNAcentral is "partial 16S ribosomal RNA". It matches the Rfam family "Bacterial small subunit ribosomal RNA", at positions 524 to 776 of the family's 1533-position model. The record is from RNAcentral.